RNAcentral lists this ribosomal RNA (403 nucleotides) under uncultured Eubacteriales bacterium. Its description in RNAcentral is "bacterial SSU rRNA". It matches the Rfam family "Bacterial small subunit ribosomal RNA", at positions 356 to 774 of the family's 1533-position model. The record is from RNAcentral. Lineage: Bacteria; Bacillati; Bacillota; Clostridia; Eubacteriales.
GGGGAAUAUUGCGCAAUGGGGGAAACCCUGACGCAGCAAUACCGCGUGAGUGAAGAAGGUUUUCGGAUCGUAAAGCUCUGUUAUUGGGGAAGAAAAAAAGACGGUACCCAAGAAGAAAGUCCCGGCUAACUACGUGCCAGCAGCCGCGGUAAUACGUAGGGGACAAGCGUUGUCCGGAUUUACUGGGCGUAAAGGGCACGCAGGCGGUUUUUUAAGUCAGAUGUGAAAUCCCAGGGCUUAACUCUGGAGCUGCAUCUGAAACUAUGUUUCUUGAGUGUCGGAGAGGAAAGCGGAAUUCCUAGUGUAGCGGUGAAAUGCGUAGAUAUUAGGAGGAACACCAGUGGCGAAGGCGGCUUUCUGGACGAUAACUGACGCUGAGGCGCGAAAGCGUGGGGAGCAAACA